This 375-nucleotide ribosomal RNA is filed under the name uncultured bacterium. Its description in RNAcentral is "bacterial SSU rRNA". It matches the Rfam family "Bacterial small subunit ribosomal RNA", at positions 521 to 896 of the family's 1533-position model. The record is from RNAcentral.
UAAUACGAAGGGGGCUAGCGUUGCUCGGAAUUACUGGGCGUAAAGGGAGCGUAGGCGGACAGUUAAGUCAGUGGUGAAAGCCCAGGGCUCAACCCUGGAAUUGCCUUUGAUACUGAUUGUCUUGAGUAUGGGAGAGGUAUGCGGAACUCCGAGUGUAGAGGUGAAAUUCGUAGAUAUUCGGAAGAACACCAGUGGCGAAGGCGGCAUACUGGCCCAUUACUGACGCUGAGGCUCGAAAGCGUGGGGAGCAAACAGGAUUAGAUACCCUGGUAGUCCACGCUGUAAACGAUGAGUGCUAGUUGUCGGCAUGCAUGCAUGUCGGUGACGCAGCUAACGCAUUAAGCACUCCGCCUGGGGAGUACGGUCGCAAGAUUA